AUGACAUACAAGCAUCUUAUGAAACUCAACUUGAAAUCCAACACCUGCUUUAGUUUUUGUUUGUGGUGA
Molecule: ribosomal RNA, 69 nt
Filed under: Triticum aestivum (bread wheat)
Lineage: Eukaryota; Viridiplantae; Streptophyta; Magnoliopsida; Poales; Poaceae
Description: partial small subunit ribosomal RNA
Source: RNAcentral